UGCAGCCCUAGCCUCAAUCCACAGCCGCCAUGCCCUCACUCCUCCUCCUCGCUACCACUCCCUUCCUGCUCCUCCUCGCGGCCGCACUCUCUCCCUCCUCACCACGGCACCCAUAGGCGGCUCCCUCCUCACCAUGGCCCCACCAUAGGCGGCUCCCUCCUCACCAUGGCCCCACCAUAGGCGGCUCAUGCGGUGGUGGAACGGACGGCGGCCUCAGCGUGUGGGCGGCGGCGGCGGCGUAUCUGGUGAACGAGCCCGCACCUCCCUGCCCUCCUCAUCACCCCUUCCCUCCUCGGCUUAAUGGGAGGUUCGCCGGGCAUGCCGCCUCUUCUGCCCAGCAGGACGAGCACGAG
RNAcentral lists this ribosomal RNA (353 nucleotides) under Triticum aestivum (bread wheat). RNAcentral describes it as "partial small subunit ribosomal RNA". The record is from RNAcentral. Lineage: Eukaryota; Viridiplantae; Streptophyta; Magnoliopsida; Poales; Poaceae.